This 219-nucleotide ribosomal RNA is filed under the name Bacillus thuringiensis serovar cameroun. RNAcentral describes it as "partial 16S ribosomal RNA". It matches the Rfam family "Bacterial small subunit ribosomal RNA", at positions 1 to 213 of the family's 1533-position model. The record is from RNAcentral. Lineage: Bacteria; Bacillati; Bacillota; Bacilli; Caryophanales; Bacillaceae.
UUUAUUGGAGAGUUUGAUCCUGGCUCAGGAUGAACGCUGGCGGCGUGCCUAAUACAUGCAAGUCGAGCGAAUGGAUUGAGAGCUUGCUCUCAAGAAGUUAGCGGCGGACGGGUGAGUAACACGUGGGUAACCUGCCCAUGAGACUGGGAUAACUCCGGGAAACCGGGGCUAAUACCGGAUAACAUUUUGAACUGCAUGGUUCGAAAUUGAAAGGCGGCU